UAGGGUGACCGAGUAAGAAAACCUGCUGUCU
Molecule: non-coding RNA, 31 nt
Filed under: Mus musculus (house mouse)
Lineage: Eukaryota; Metazoa; Chordata; Mammalia; Rodentia; Muridae
Source: RNAcentral